Molecule: long non-coding RNA, 32506 nt
Filed under: Fragaria vesca (wild strawberry)
Lineage: Eukaryota; Viridiplantae; Streptophyta; Magnoliopsida; Rosales; Rosaceae
Description: long non-coding RNA (FVES_LNC000569)
Source: RNAcentral
UCUUUUUUUUUUUUUUUUUUAUCUGUAUCAGCUUUAGUUUGAUCUUGCAUAUCAUAUUCUCAAGUACUGCAUCUUUAUCAUGACAUGUUUUAUCGAAUAACUAGAUAUCUAUGUUUAAUAGCUACUUCUACACUUCUACUAUCUUGUGAAUUUUGAAAAGUUGUAUCGAUGAUUUGGAGUUGAGAUAUAACAAUAAUCAUUUGAUUAUAAAUUGAACAAUGAUAAUAAAAAAUUUCUAACAAAAAUUAGACGAAAUAAUAUGUAAAAAGAGGUAUCAAAUAGUAAAUAUUGAUUAAUUAUAUUAAAUAAUGAAAUAUUUCAUAAAUUAAGGGUAUUUUAGGCAGUUUGAGAUGUGUAUUAAGUAUAAUACUGAAAUGAAAAACUUGAUAUGUGGUGUAUUAAGUAAGGGGUGUGUAUUAAGAUAUUAGGGGUGUGUAUUUAAAAUUUCUCUUACAUUAAUAGAUCGGCACCCAUGAUUUUCAGAAAAAAAAAAAUGCUUUUGAAUAUAGAGUAUGUUCAUGAAAUAUAUAGCACUGCUAGGCAUAAAUAGUUGAUAAAAUACCUUUGCUAAACGAAUCUAGAGUAUUUCCAGUAUCAUUUGGUCUAACGGCGUAAUCUCCUUUUAGUAAGUGGGAGGUUGUGAGUUUGACUCACGAAGUUAUAAUAUUCAAGUUGUUUAGCUGAUAAAAAAAACGAAUCUAUACCUAAAUUUGAUUAGCAAAUCACUUAUACAUCCUUCAAAAAGAUUUAAAACACAAAUAAAUCCACUUGUUUUGUUGUUAAACAAAUAAGGACAAUUUUUAACAAUUAAGGACAAUUUUUUCUCUAUAUGCCAUGUGUCAUGAUUUAAUUUACCAAACUAACCCUACACUAAUUAAAUAUACUUUUAGAAGAGAAAAGUUUUUCCUUUUGAGAUUUUUCAGUAAAUAGAAUACAGUAGUAAUUUUCAAUAAUUUAGUGUGGUAGCAGUUAAUUUUAGUAGAAGUAGCAAUACGUAGUAGCAGCAACAUGAAUCAACAACUUACAAUAACAACACACAACAACAACACACACAGUAGUAGCACACAUCAACAACACACACAGUAGCAACACACAUCCACAACAACAUGCAGUGGCAGUACACGCAAUAGCAGCACACAACCACAACACACGCAGUAGCAGCACACAACAGCACACAAUAGCAACACACAACAGCACACGCAGUAGCAGCACACAACAACACACGCAGUAGCAGCACACAACAACAGGCAGUAGCAGCACACAACAACACGUAGUAGCAGCACACAACAACAGGCAGUAGCAGCACACAACAGCACGUAGUAGCAGCACACAACAACAACACACACAGUAGNNNNNNNNNNNNNNNNNNNNNNNNNNNNNNNNNNNNNNNNNNNNNNNNNNNNNNNNNNNNNNNNNNNNNNNNNNNNNNNNNNNNNNNNNNGAGGAGAAGAGGAAGAAGAAGAAGAAGAAGAAGAAGAAGAAUAAAAAUAAUCGGUGUGUUUCUCAUAUUUAAAAAUGGUGGAGAAGUGAUAUUUUAAGUUAGUGGCAGUUUUGUAGAUAUUUUAAAAAAUAAUGAUUUUUUAGGUAUUUUGCAUAAAAAAUUGCUGACAGGACGUGGUACUAUACACUGUAGGCCUAUAUAUAUGUCCUUAUUUGUUUAAAUAUGUUGAAAUAUGGUUUUUCUGUGUUUUGCAACUGUUUAUGAUAGCUAUACAGUAGGCCUAUAUAUAUGUCCUUAUUUGUUUAAAUAUGUUGAAAUAUGGUUUUUCUGUGUUUUGCAACUGUUUAUGAUAGUGGGAUGUUAUUUUCUAAAAUUUGAUCAGACUAUAUUAAAUUCUUGCUAUUGAAACAUAGGACCUCCCAUAUUUACUUUUUGCAGUUAUGCUCUUUGAAUUGCUAAUGGUAUGGAUUUGAUACGAUGUGGUUAUUGGUCAUGCAAGUUGGAUCAAAACCAUGUUAAAAAGAGAGCUCACUGAGAACAAAAGAUUACAAGAUGGAUCAAAACCAUGUUAUUUUCUAUUUACAACGGUAGAUUUCUCCUCUUACAACACAGCCAUACAAGGCCGUUUUUAUUCUUUGUACCAUGCAAAACUCCGUGCCGCAUUACGUUUUUACAUCUCAUCAUGCAUUCAUUUAAGCAAUAGCCCUCUGGGACUCGGAAGACCUUGAAGAGCUCAAAGCAACAGUUUCCUGUCUGUUGUAUUUGAGAUUCCUUGCCUGUUGUCGGUCAAUCUGGUACGCAUUAGCAAGGACACCGUCCGGGAGUGCACGCAAGACUGAGGUCCGGCCAGCCAGAGUGUUAAUCUUGGCAUUGUCCUGGGUCUUGAAGGCAAUGUACUCGUAGCCAUUGUUGCUAGCCUUCUGUAACACUGCGUGGUUCUGUGGCACAAUGAAGAGCUGGCCCUGGCGGACCUCGUUGUCCAAGAUGGCCUGGCCGUUGUUGUUCACAAUCUGAACCCUAGCGCUACCUCUAAUGACAUAGUACACUUCAUGAGCGUUCAAGUUCCAGUGGGGGCUGUAGAUAGCAUUCUGCAUGUAGAAGACAAUUAAUAAGAUACUUACAUGAGCUCAAACAACUAAUCAGUUACUUGAAAUUGACAAAUAUUGAGUAUACUUACGUUGUAGAGGAAGCCUCUCUCAGCGCUGAGGUCAAGGUGCCUGAGAAUAGGCAACUUAAAACUGUUGAGCGUGCUGACGCGACCGGCUUGGGGACUGAAGACAUCGGCGCGUGACGGCCUGCCAAUAUUCUCUUUGAUCCUGAAGUUGCAGAAUGUCUCCUCAAAACCAUUCUGUCCUUGUUGCCCCUGUUGUCUCUGAAUUCCCUGUUCUCGUCUUUCCUCCUGUUGUGACUCUGGUGGCUGGAUGAAAUCGAGACGUCCUCUAACUCUCACGAUUUGGGGUCUGUUGUCUUUCUGUCCCUGAAGCUGCUGGGCAGUCUGUUGGUCAAUGUUCAAAGCAUCAGCGAGGAGCUGUGUGUUGAAGCCUGCAAAGAUGUUGUUGUUUCCUUGUCGUUGUUGUUGCUGGUGCCUGCUCCUUCCUCCUUGCUGUUGCUGGUGCCUGCUCUUUUCUCCUUGCUGUUGCUGGUCCUGGUCCCAUUGACUUUGGCCUUCCGCUUGUUGUCCACGUCCUUGCCGUCCUCGUUGCCUUUGGCUUUGCCCGUGUUGGUUAAACUCAUCUUGUGGAUUACCCGCUAGAUAGAAUCUCUAUACACAUAACAAUAGUACAAUACAUGUAUGUGAUCUGCAGUCAGCAAUGAUAACAAGUAAUCUACCAAUAAAUAUGCAAAUAUAUUUGGGGGUGUAAAUGGACAGUGUGCUCAUUAGUAGAUAUUUAAUUUACCCUAGGGUUACGAUCAAGCUGGUUUUGGUUGUUGCCGAUGUCAAGAAGACUGACAGCAACAAGAGGUUGAUCACCGUCAUUGUAGGACCAGUAGGUGACUCCGGCAGGAAUAGCAACAACGUCACCUUCUCUGAUGCGUCGAACCUUCUGGUGUCUGUCUAGCUGUUCGAAGCUUUCUUGUCCCUGUUGGCCUUGCUGGCCUUGUUGUCUAUGACGGCCAUGCUGUCCACGGUCUUGCUGCUCUUGUUGUUCACGGCCUUGCUGUCCAUGACGCCCUUGCCAUUGUUGUUGACCCUGUUGUUCUUCAUCAGAUUGUUCUGAUUCUUCAAAAGACUCAGGACAGCCAGGGAAUACAGUAGAUAGAAAACCAUUUCCUGCCGUAAUUAUAUGAAUAUAUUACACACCAUAUACAGAUACAUAUUAAUACAUAUCCAACAUUUAUAAUAUUAGAUAGAAAUGGUUCCGGUUACACAGUACCUUGGACAAUAUAUAUGAGCUGUGGUGCGUGGGUGUAAGAAGGCAAGUGAAGGCCAUUUCUUUCAACAGUGAUUCGUUGAACAGCAACACCAGCACACCGGAAGUCGUCCUGGUUGUAGUUCCAGGACUCGAUCCUACCCGCUUCAGUCUCAAUGCGGUUAUCAGGUUCGCGGGCUUGGAUCUGAUCAAGUUGGCACUCAUUCUGCUGGCUCGACUGAGAUUGUUGGCGCGCUGCUAAGCAGCUGUGGAAGAGGACAAGCAAGCAAAGAGAAAAGGCGAGAGCUAUAGGCUUAGCCAUAGUGUUGAUCAGAUAAGUAUAUAGCUUGUCGUGGUGAAGCGGCGAGUAGAAGGUGUGGUAUUUAUACUUUUAUAGGAUAGAGAAGCUGAAGAGGGAAGGAUAAGUACAACAACGUACAUCUGUAAAUAGUCUGAAGCCAUUCUUAUCUUUGCAUGGCAAAAGCAUUUCACAUUCUUACACCUCAUUUCUCCCAGGGCAGGUGGCUCAUGGCUUCAGAGAAGAUACAAAGUGCCUAACAAGGUGGGGUUUUGCCAUGAUUGUCUGCAAGUGAAGCGAAAUUCUACUGCCUUGAACCUGGUCCAAUAAAGAGCAAAAUUUAUGAGAGGACUAAGAUAUGUUCUUACCAGUUUUAGUAAAAUAGUAUUACAUCAGCACCAACCUGAUGAACAUCUUCUAUAAUGUAGGCAAGGUUCAAAAAUGGCUGUUCUUAUCUUCCUAGUAGCCAUCCAUACUCUGUCAUUUUAUGAGUCAAAGUUUAAUAUUUAAAACUUAUGUAGACAUUCCAACAAUAAAACUUAAAAGUUCUUAACUCUAGUUGGUAAUACUUUGACACGUCAAACUUCUUUGAUUUCUUCCAGAAGCAUAAGCAUCUGGUUCUCACGUUGCUAAUCACUUCACCUAUCUAGUUUUCCUACCAAAAAGAAUCUGAUAUAGAUAGAAAAGUUAGCCAUAAAUGUAGGACUUACUGUGAACAAUGUCCCAAUUCCAACCUCAAAGAUUAGAAUCUAAAAGCUCGUAACUCAAAAUUAUACAACAUCAUUAUAUUCACAAUAAAAAGUACUCUGACAUAAGGUUUAGUUCAGUUUAGUGCUUCUUGAAAAAAAAGAUGAAGACUUCAACUGUUCUACAACAUAAUUGUCUAUAUCUAUACUCAAAAUGAUCAAUAAUCGUUUAUCCUACCAUAUUUCUUGUAUGGAAUAUCUUGUUACAUUUUGUUUUCAUAGCAAAAUGUUGCAAUAUUUGAGUGAUAGAUACACUGCCAACAUGGUGUACAAGUUCCACAGCCAAGAUUUUUGGGCUCACGACAACUCUUAAGGCUUAAGAACCAGUAAUGCAUGGUUGAACUAGGGAGCAGCCAUUGCUGAAGGCUCCUCCUCAAAACGAUCCAUUGCUUUAUUACCCCAUGGUUGGAAAACCUGCCAACAGUCAAAAUUUCCUCUUCCCCCGCAGUCGAUAUUUUCUCAUCUCAAUAAAUUUUAUUCAUCCAAAACAUAAAUCCUUUUGUUUAAGUACCCGCCAGUAUAUCUAAUAUCUGUGACAAGCCGAGUGCUGACAGCUGAUAUUUUAAAACUUGGGAUUCCCUAUAGCCCCUCUCAUUAUAACCCCUCUAAUGUUAAAGCUUCUGCUAAAGACACAUCUCUAGUUCCUCGAGCUAAUGCUACAUCCGCAAUGCAAUUGUUCCCAUGCAAUGAUUAGCCAGAGGAAAACUCGAGGAGCUCCCUUGACUCUGAUCAAUUUAGCCUCAAGUCUCGAACUUGUUCUUUGAAAGUCAGUGAAGAGGCUACUUCUUUAACUGGUGAUGGUGCUCAACCAAUGUUAAGCCAGACAGAGGAUAGUUAAGUGAAUCUGGUCGGGAAGACCUAAAAAGAGCAAAACUUCUUGCUUUCCCUUGCUACACAACGAGUACUACUAAAAGGUCGAUUCCAACAAAAGAGCUCAGGAUGUUGUUAUUAAUGGGGUUGGGACUUGAGUUCUCGGGUGGGAAUGUGAAGGUGCAGCAGUUGCUUUGCAACUCUACUUUACUGUCCUUGUCCAAGCUGAUAAGGGUGGGACGACAUUGAACGGCCUUAUUUACAGGUCCUCUAUAUAUUGGAAUACUUGACUGUCUCAGAAAGGACUUGCCAAGUGAUUCCCUAAUUCUAAUGCUCAGACCUCGGCCUAUUUGAAAUGUCUGAUAGAAACUAGUUUGAGGAAUAAUUAGCUUCUUUACCUGUGAGUACAUGUUUCUAUGGAAGGUUUCUGUAAUGCUAGCUUUCCUUCUGCUAUAAGGAAGGUGACCAAGCUUUUAAUCCUAACACCAAAGUUAAACCUUUUCCAAAGAAAGGGGGUCAAAACCUGUAGAAUAUUAUGUAACAGGUUGAACCUAACACAUAAAGUUCAGCAAUCAUCCAUGAUCCAUCUUCUAUCAUAUUUUUACUGAACCAAAGAUUAAGUAAUCAACACUGGCAGUUGUUUAUGUAAGUUAUUCUGAUAAAGAAAAAAGAUCCAUCACUACCCUUAAACUUAUUGUGCCACAAAACACAAAUGACUUCAAUUGUUCCUAUCGCAUAGAAACCAAACUUUUGUCAUUGUUUCUUGGAAUUAUUCUGUACACAUCACUUCUGUGCAAUCAUGCACAAAAUAGAAUCAAAAUACCAUGACAAUGACAAAGGGUUUAAUUCAAUUUGGCACUUCUUACCAACACUAUGCUCCUCCAAAUGGUCCUCAUAGUCAAAGGGACUUCCCCAUAUCCCUUGUUCCAAAAUUAGCUUCUUUACCCAGAAUCAAUCAUCCUACUACGCUCAAAAUAUCUAAUUUCUCAAUACUCUACUGAUUCAAUUGAGUUGAAGACAAAGUAGACAACAAUUAACAGAUCAAAUGUGAAAGUACAUAAUUCAAUAGACUCACGAUUGCUGAGUUGCAGGUCACUGGUUGUGGUGUGUCUGAUCAGCAGGAGCUACGUUUCAAGCACGCCCUCGUGAAGCAAUCUCGUCCCCGACGCGACCUCUGGUAGUCGGAAUAUGCGGCCGGAUAACAUGAUCCGGCGAUCCCGUCUUUCACAUUGUGUUUGGUUGGACAUUGGCGGUUCCAGCAGUUCAGUUACUAUUGGUCUUCACCCUCUCAGCGCUCAACCUCUUCUAGUCUCUCCUUUUAUUCUUGUACUUGUCAGUUGUCACAGUUGCUAUCUAUGUGAUUGUUCCACGUGGAUUUUAUUUUCCUGCAAAUUCCCAAAUUAAUUAUUAUUUUGUCCAAAAUUUCCAGAUGAAUUGUUUGUUGUCUUUGAUGUUUUUUUUUCUUUUGUAAAAAGAUCGUAUGACCCCUUAUAUGGAUAUUUUCAGGAGACUUCUUGCCGCCUUCACGCUGUUCACGUUCCACAUACAUAUAUACAUGCAGCUCAACAUGCUUUUUCACCAACUUCACUGAGUUCUUUGAUGAUUCUAAUCAUUCGAUGGAAUCACAAAAUAGUUAGUUUAUACAACAGAGUUCGUGAGCUGCUUAUUUUAUAGUUUAAUUUUGGCGUGACGUCAUUAGUUAAAGCUCGACGAAGCAUGCUGUUUUUCUUUUCUAUCAAGAGCGUGAUUAGCUGGUUUGGAAAUUUCAUUUCUAUUUUUCUCGUUCUUAUUGAGAGUCAAACUUUGAAGAAAUGAUAGUCAAACUUCGAAGAAAUGAUUGGAGUCAAACCUGAUGAUUACAGACAAGGGGUGAGCUGCUGAUAUGCAAUUACAGCCAAAGCAAAUUACUGACUUAAAUCUAAGGGGCAAAGCUUCACAAUUUAGAUAAAACACCAACUCACCAAGUAUAGUUGAGGCAAAAAGAAAAUUCAUUUAACGAGAAUAUGACUACAAGAACGUAGUAGCUCGUUAUUUACUAGUUUGUACAUAAGAUCUCAUAUCUUCCGAAGAUGCCAUAUAAAGGCCAUUUUUAUUCACUCUACCCUUUAGCUCGCUGGUACCAUAUUCACUAGCUUAUUCACCGCACAAAAAACACUACGUGCGCAUUACAUACAUAUUCAUACUCAGACAAACAUCUCAGCAAUAUCCAACCAGUUCCUGUGGGAUCGAGGAGACCUUGAUGAGCUCAAAGCAACAGUCUCCUGCCUGUUGUACUUGAGAGUCCUUGCCUGUUGUCGAUCAAUCUGGUAUGCGUUAGCGAGGACCACGUCAGGGAGUGCCCGCAAGACUGAGGUCCGGCCAGCAAGAGUGUUAAUCUUAGCAUUGUCUUGGGUCUUGAAAGCAAUGUAUUCGAAUCCAUUGUUGCUAGCCUUAUGCAACACUGCAUGGUUCUGUGGCACAAUGAAGAGCUGGCCCUGGCGGACCUCGUUGUCCAAGAUGGCCUGGCCGUUGUUGUUCACAACCUGAACCCUAGCACUACCUCUAAUGACGUAGUAGACUUCAUGGGCGUUCAAGUUCCAGUGAGGACUGUAGAUAGCAUUCUGCAAGUACCACAAACAAGAUUAGUAAUCAUAAUCAAUAACCUCAAUUGAUUCAAAAGGACCUAUAUCGUUGAUUAUAUAUACUUACGUUAUAGAAGAAGCCUCUCUCAGCGCUGAGGUCAAGGUGCCUGAGAAUAGGCAACUUAAAGCUGUUGAGGGUGCUGAUGCGACCGGCUUGGGGACUGAAGACGUCAGCGCGUGAAGGCCUGCCGAUAUUCUCUUUGAUCCUGAAGUUGCAGAAUGUCUCCUCAAAACCAUUCCGUCCUUGUCCCUGUUGUCUCUGAAUUCCCUGUUGUUGUCUUUCCUCCUGUUCUGACUCUGCUGGCUGAACAAAGUCGAGACGUCCUUUAACUCUCACGAUUUGGGGUCUGUUGUCGUUCUGUCCCUGAAGCUGCUGGGCAGUCUGUUGAUCAAUGUUCAGAGCGUCAGCGAGGAGCUGUGUGUUGAAGCCGGCGAAGAUGUUCUUGUUGUUUCCUUCUUGUUGCUGGUGCCUGCUCCUUCCUCCUUGCUGUUGCUGGUGCCUGCUCCUCUCUCGUUGCUGUUGCUGGUCCUGGUCCCAUUGACUUUGUCCUUGCUGGCCCCGACGACUCUGGCUUUGCCCGUGUUGGUUAAACUCAUCUUGUGGAUUACCAGCCAGAUAGAAUCUCUACAUACAUAACACAUCAUGCAUGUGAUCAGAAAAAACUAGCAAGCCAACAGUAAGAGUGCUAUUGUACCUCCACAAAAGAAAAUAUAUACAUAUCACAUUUGCUAAUUAAUUUACCCUGGGGUUACGGUCAAGCUGGUUUUGUUGGUUGCCGAUAUCAAGAAGAUUGACAGCAACAAGAGGUUGGUCACCGUCGUUGUAGGACCAGUAGGUGACUCCAGCAGGAAUAGCAAUCACAUCACCUUCUCUGAUGCGUUGAACCUUCUGGUGUCUGUCUAGCUGCUCGAAACUCUCUUGUCCCUGUUGGCUGUGCCGCCCUUGUUGUCUAUGACGACUUUGCUGUCCAGGGCCUUGUUGCCCUCGUUGACCACGGCCUUGUUGUUCAUACUCUUCCUGUUCUUGUUGCCCGCGGCCUUGCUGUCCAUGGCGCCCUUGCUGGCCUUGCCACUGUUGUUGACCUUGUUCUUCAUCAGAUUGCUCAGAUUCUUCAAAAGUUUCAGGACAGCCAGGGAAAACAGUUGAUAGAAAACCAUUGCCUACAGGGUAUAAAUGAAUGAUUUUAACCACAUACGUACUUGUAUUCAAAAAAUUUAUACUAAAUUUAACCAAUUGCAUUUAUACAAUACCUUGCACUAUGUAAGUGAGUUGUGGAGCAUGGGAGUAAGAAGGCAAGUGAAGGCCAUUUCUUUCUAUGGUAAUUCGUUGAACGGCAACACCAGCACAUUGGAAAUCGUCCUGGUUGUAGUCCCAGGAUUCGAUCCUACCCGCUUCAGUCUCAAUGCGGUUAUCAGGUUCACGGGCUUGGAGCUGAUCUAAUUGGCAUUCAUUUCGCUGGCUCGACUGAAAUUGUUGGUGAGCUGCUAAGCAGCUCUGGAAGAGGACAAGCAAACAGAGAGAAAAGGCGAGAGCUAUAGGCUUAGCCAUAGUGAUGAUCAGAGAGAUAGCUAGCUAGUUGUGGUGAAGCGGCGAGUAGAAGGUGUGGUAUUUAUAGGAUAGAGAAGGUGAAGAGACAAAAAUAAGUACAAUAACAUUAAAGAUCUGAAGCCGUUCUUCUCUUUGCAUGGCAAUAGCAAUUUACAUUCUUCCACCUCAUUCCUUCCAGGGCAGGUGGCUCAUGACUUCAGAGAAGAUACAAAGUGCUAUGAAUAAGGUGGCAACCAGAAGCGGUUUGCAAUUGUCUGCAAGUGAAGCAAAAUUUUACACCCUUGAACCUGGUCCCAAUACAGGGAAAAAUUAAUGAGAGAAGUCAGAUAAGUUCGUUCUAAAUUUGGUAAAAUGAUAUUACAUCAGCCCCAACCUGAUGAACAUCUUCUAUGAUCCAGACAAGGUUCAAAAAUGUAAGAUCUCAUCGGAAAAAAAAUGUAUGUUAGAUAAGUACUGAAUGAUGUGUCAGGAACCUCAAGACAUUUUUCUAUAUGCAAUUUAUCAUUGUUUCACAUUCUUACAGCUCAUUUCUUUGACCAGGUGGCUUAUGGCUUCAGAGAAGACUCAAAGUGGCUUGAACAAUGUGUCAACCAGGUGGGAAUGACAUGAUUUUCAAAUGCAGCAAAGAUUUACUGCCGUGAAUAAUGCAAAAUUAAUUAUACAAACAAGAUCUAUAGCUGUUCAAUGCAUAGUUUGGAAAAGUAAAAUCAUACCAACACCAACCUGAUAAACUCAUCUAUGAUGCAUGCAUGGUGAAAAAUUAUAACAUUUUCAUCUUUCCUACAGUAAUCAGCAUAGUCUAUCCUUUCAUGAAUCAAAAUUAAUACUUCAAGUCUAUGCACAUAAAAUCUUACUAAAAAUAAUGCAGUUUAGUGGUUUAUAUAAGUUUCUUUGCAAACAAAUCUGAACUCCAUCACUAUUCUUGAAACUACUGUGACCCAUCAACGUUAUUACCUCAGCUAUCAACCAUUCUCAUGUCAUAAAGAUUCAGAAUUUGCAAUAUUACUCCUAGAAGUUCUCUGUUCAUCUACAGAAAGGAGUCUCGUAGAAGCUACUGUUGUGAUAGAAGCUAGGAUAGCUAAUGCUGCAAAAUUGAUCUCCGAGAAGCUAUUGUUGUUAAAAUCCCAUCUCAUAAAAUUUUCUCCUGUUUCAAAAAUUAAAAAAUAUAAAAAAUUGUCUCCCUUUGAUUAAAGCACCCUGAACACCAGAAAUGGUGUCACUUAAAACCUCUCUCAAUCUCCAAGCUAACACUUUUGCGAUAAUUUCAUACAAGCUUGAUAAUCAAGCUGUGGACUUCUGUAGAUGAACAGAGAACUUCAAGGAGAACUACCACUUUUGGACUAAUUUUACAACCAAGACUUUACUUCUACUACUUUGUUAUAAAAGAUUGCAAGGCAUCAAUAGACGAUAUAUAGUUGAUAAGACUGGAUGCAAUCCACUCAAAUGCAUUUCAAAAAACUAUAUUCAAUGAGUAAUUUGAGUUGUUUUUUUCUUCCAACUCAAAAACUUGAACAAACCUCGAUUCUAAUACUCUAAACAAAGAAUUUAACCCGGAAUCGAAAGAUCAAUACUGAAAAACAUAAUCUGAUACAUAAACAUGUGUUAUCAUUUGUAAAACAUCAGAUACAACCUAUUUGCACAAAAUGGGUUACACAUCUCUAACAAAGGCUUAGACUUUAGAUAUCAAAAGAAUUCCAAUUUGUCCUCUUCUACACAAUUCUAACAAAUGCUCAAGUCCUUUAAGGCCUUGUAUUUAGAUGCUAAGAAGAGUAAAAAAUGGGCCUAUUGGCAGGAUUUAAAUUGAAAAUCUUGAUUUAAAAAUGGUUGAAUUCCAGAUCAGUCUACAGAGAAUCUAGUAAUUCUAUGCUUCAAAAACUCAUUUGCCCCUCUUUAAAUCCUCACAAUGUGGGGUUGAUUAGCUUCCUUUAACCAAGAGUAACAUGGUUCUAUGAAAAACAAGCAUUAAUGAAUCAAACAGAGAUCACAACACAAUAACAAAUAGAUCAAACUUUGAAAUCAACUAAUAUUAGACUCCCAAAUUCCAAGUUCAAGUAGGCUGUUGUUGAAUCACGCGUUACCUCGCGAAGCGAGUCUCGCUUCCCACGACGUUGCAUUUCUUGCUCGUCGGCGUAUGACGCCGGAGAAAACGAUUCGGCGACCACGUCUUCCAUUUUUCCCUUCAUUUUCUGAUCCUGGUUUGCUCUCUGGUUUUCUACCUAUUGUGUUGGGCUUUAUUACAUACUUUUGGGUCCUUUUUCCUUUUAUUUUUCUUUUUCUUUCAUUUUAAAAGUCGAAUAGUUUCCUAAUAUUUCGAAAAAUUAAAAGUCGAGUACCUCACAGUAUCUAGUUUUUAUUUGAUAAAUCAGUAUCUAGUUUUUUUUUUUUAAGAAAGAGCUUCUAGUUUUCAUAUUCAUUUGAUAAAUAAAAGUAAUUUUAACCUCUCGUGUGCAUUUAAGUUGUCUAUUAUGGUGAGAAAAGUUUCCUAAAAGAAAACUAUGGUGAGAAAAACAAGAGCAUUCGAAAUGAGAAGAACAUGAAGGUGGAUUUGAGAGGAGCCAAAACGCGAAUCAAAGGAAGAAGAAAGAGAUUUCAUUAGAAAAAAGUGUAACGCGAAUCAAAGGAAGAAGAAAGAGAUUUCAUUAGAAAAGAGUGUUUGAGACUACAAGUAGAGUAGCUAUUUAUUAACUUGUGGCAUUAGAUCUCUCUCCUAGUACCACGAGACCCAUAUAAAAGGCUACUUUUAUUGAUUAUCUACCUCUUAGCUUAGCAAGUACCACAUUAACACUACAUGCCGCUAAAUUUUUCAUUUGCUCCCAUCAGUAUCUCUAGAACUGUGAGGACCUUGAUGAGCUCAAAGCAAGAGUCUCCUGCCUGUUAUACUUGAGGUCCUUGCCUGCUCGCGGUCCAUCUGGUAGGCGUUGGCGAGGACCACGUCGGGGAGUGAUCGCAAGACGGAGGUCCUGCCAGCUAGAGUGUUGACCAUGGCAUUGUCAUUGGUCUUGAAGGCAAUGUACUCGUACCCGUUGCUCUGGGCUUUUUGCAACACGGCGUGGUUUUGCGGCACGAUGAAGAGUUGUCCCUGGCGGACCUGGUCGUCCAAGAUGGUCUCACCGUUGUCGUUCACCACCUGAACCCUGGCGCUACCUCUGAUGACAUAGAUGAUCUCAUGAGCAUUCAAGUUCCAGCGGGGGCUGUGGAUAGCAUUCUGCAUGUACCAUUACCAGAUAAAUUUCAGGAUUAAUUGAUCAAUAGGUAACUAAAUUUAAUUAUUAGAAACAUACAUGCUAGAAUACUCACGUUGUAGAAGAAACCUCUCUCAGCGCUGAGACGGAGGUGCCUGAGAAUAGGCAUGCUGAAGCUGUUGAGGGUGCUGAUGCGACCGGCUUGUGGGCUGAAGACGUCAGCCAUGGAAGGCUUGCCGAUGUUCUGCUUGAUCUGCAUGUGGCAGAAUACCUCCUCAAAGCCAUUCUGGCGGCCCUGUUGUCCUUGCAGUUGUCUUUCCUCCCUCUGUGACUCUGGUGGCUCGACAAAGUCGAAACGUCCCUCAACCCUAACAAUUUGUGGCCUGUUGUCAUUCUGUCCCUGGAGCUGCUGGACAGUCUGUUGGUCAAUGUUGAGAGCAUCGGCGAGGAGCUGGGUGUCGAAGCCGGCAAAGACAUUGUUGUUGUUGUUACCCUGCUGUUGGCGCCUGCUCCUUCCUUGUUGUCGGCCUUGCUGUCCCCGUUGGCUUUGGCCUUGUUGUCCUUGUUUCCACCAUUGGCUUUGGCCUUGUUGGUUGAACUCAUCUUGCAUGCGGGUUACCAGCAAGAUAGAAUCGCUACAAAUAGAGAUCAAGCAGCAAGCAUUGAGUGAGUUAACAAUGUAAAAUAAGUUGUUAACUUCAUGUUUAGAGUAAAAUUGUCAGUAAAAAGGUGUACCCUCUUGGGUUUUGGUCAAGCUGGUUGUGGUUGUUGCCGAUGUCUAGAAGAGUAACAAAAACAAGAGAUUGAUCACCAUCGUUGUGAGUCCAGGUUGUGGCUCCGGCGGGGAUUGCGAUAACAUCACCUUCCUUGAUGCGUCGCACCCUCUGGUGUCGGUCUAGCUGUUCAAACUCUUGUUGGCCUUGCUCUCCGAAUUGCCCUUGUCGACGUCCGUGUCGCUGGCGGUGGCCUCCGCCUUGUUGGCCUUGCCAUUGUUGUUGCUGUUGUUCUUCAACAGAUUGCUCAGACUCCUCAAAUGUCUCCGGACAGCCAGGGAAUACCAUCCCUAGAUGACCCCUACCUACAGUAGUGUCCAAAAAUAGCAAGCUAAACACAUGCUUAAACACCACUAGGUGCAAUUUACUGAAUAAUAAAUAACGGACUGUUUUGCACUUUACCUUGUACAACGUAAACAAGCCUUGGUGUGUUAGUGUAGGAAGGCAAGUGAAGGCCAUUACGCUCAAUGGUGAUUCUUUGAACAGCAACACCAGCGCACUAGAAGUCAUCCUGGUUGUGAUCCCAAGACUCGAUGCGACCUGCUUCAGUCUCAAUACGGUUGUCAGGCUCGCGGGCUUGGAUCUGGUUCAGCAUGCACACAUUUUGCUGGCUGAACUGAGAUUGUUGCCGACUGGCUAAGCAGCCUUGGAAGAGAACGAGCAAGCAAAGAGAAAAGGCAAGAGCUAAAGGCUUGGCCACCAUUGUAACAAUCAGUGGUAGAUAGCUAGCUGUGGGUUGUGGUGAAGCGGCGAGUAGAUGGCGUCGGUAUUUAGAGGAGAGAGGAGGAGGCGAGGAGGAGAAAAAUACAAGGGAUGAGAUUCUCUUUGCAUGCUAUUAGUAUCUCAAAUUCAUACACCUCAUCUUUAUACCUGGGCAGGUGGCUAUUGGCUUCAGAGGAUAUAUAUACAAAGUGCCGAGAACAAUGUGGCAAACAGGUGGGGGGUGGUCAUGAUUGUCUGCAAGUAAAGCAAAUUGUACUGCCUUGAACCUGGUCAAGUUCAUGAAAAAGUUCAUUCAAGAUAUCAGGUCUAAUCUGUUUCAUGUUUGGUAAAGUAAAUAGAGUAGCAACCUGGACCAUAUAUAAUCUACACAGGUGAGAUAAAAAAACCUUAAUUUACCAUCAUGCAAUAGCCAGAAUCCAUCUUCAAUCCUCUAUGAUUCUAUUAAGACUUAAAGCACAUUUACCCUCUUCAAGAAUUCACAUUCCAGCACUCUUCUAAAUGACUCUACUUGAUGAAAUUCAAAGUACCUCUCGCUAUAUUCUGGGAAUUACUGUGAUCAUCAGAGCAAUUACCUCACCUAUUAACUCAUAGUAUGCUUGAGCUAAUGUGAGAUCAUUCCUUAUAUAAAUGAGAAUGCAAUGCCUAACAUAAGUUUUAUGUGUAUAAUACAAUCAUAAGAGACUCACUGAUUACAAUUAUAUGAAAUAUAUGAAACAAAAGCACAGAAAAUAGACUUCUGGAAAAAGAACAUAUUUCUACAAGUGAAGGCUUAUUAUUUACACUAGUCUCACUGAUUUCCAUUUGGCUCUUCUGACCAAAUAGACUUCUGUAAAAAGUACAACAUUUGAGCCCAUGAUCACCCUCUACUUGGAAAUACCAUUGAUUCUAAAACAUAGUCCUUACAGUAUUUGUGGGAACUAGAUUAUUGGGUCAGUUUAGCUAAGAUUAAACUGUUAACAAAACCAAGCUUUAGAACCCAAUUUAGCAAAAUGAACAUACAAUAGUGUCACACCCCGGACCGUGGUUUCCAAGCACCAGACGCCGAACCCGAGGCGUGAGCGGGAAAAAUAAAAGAAAAUAAAAUAAUUUCAAAUACUUUUCCAGAAAUUGUUAAAAAAAAAGAAAAUAAAAUGUUUUACAAUAACAAAACAAUUACAAAGACAAUAAGAUGAGCCCUUGCGAUCUAGCUCAUUUUUAAUCUUUCGUAACUCUUUUCUACUCUUGUACACGUCUCCUAAACUUCAUAGUCUCGAAAUACGUUCCUCGUACGUACCUGAACAAAAGUCUAUAGGGAUGAGCUUACGCUCAGUAGGGCCAAACCUUUUUAGGUUAUACUUAACUAGGUUGCACAAACAAGUUAUCAAGCAAUGUCAAACAAUACUUUAAAUAAAUAACGGCAAUUCGAUGCAUGUAUGCUAAUGAAUGUCUUCCUCAAUUACUAGCUAUCAGUCCAUACAUCAAAGAUAAGUGAGCCUACACGUCUCAUACCGUGUAUUUUACCAACCGGGGAUAACUCAAAUGUCUCGAAUAUAUGAUCUAACAAUCAAUAAAAUCUCACCACCUGUACCUCUUUUGUUAGUCAUCUUGUUAUAUUCAUGGUCUCCAAACCUGAAACCCGAAGAUCGUUUUAUCGAUGUCCGCCAUCGAAGGGGCAUAUAUACUUUCCCCACUCAUUUGCGCAUGUGGGCUGGCAUGGAUUCAUGGACAACCCAUGAGAAAACUCAACUACACAAAAUGUAUAUAUUCUCUAAAUCUCAUUCUCCUCUCCAUAAUCAUCAUUCUCACCAUUCUCACAAUUCCUCACAAUGUUUUACACACUACAAGGACAAACACUUUAGCCGACGAAAAAGUUUCGUCGGCCUGUUAGCUUAAUUUGUCGGCUAAGAUUUCGUCGGGAAAAGGUCGUCGGCGAUGACUUUAGCCGACGAAAAAAGAAGACGUCGUCGGCUAUAGUCCCACAAUUUAGCCGACAAAAAACAUGUCGUCGGUUUUUUUCCCAGACUUUAGCCGACGAAACAAUAAGAUAUUCGUCGGCUAAAGUGUGUAAUAAAAAAUUAAAAAAAUAAUUAUAGCCUACCAAAUAUAGUCUGUUUCGUCGGCUAAACCUUAUAAAAAAAUUAAAAAAAUAACUAUAGCCGACGAAAUAUAGUAUGUUUCGUCGGCUAAACCUUAUAAAAAAAUUAAAAAAUAAAUAUAGCCGACGAAUAUAGUAUUUAAAUAUCGUCAGCUAAAGUUGCUGGUUUUUGAAAAAAAAAACUGCAGAAACUUUCGGCCAACUCCAAUCACCACCAAAAUUUGAUAGAAUCUUCCUCUCAACAUUUCAAACAACUUUCUAGAAGAAGUCGAAUCCCAAUUCUAAACCUAAACAGGUCAAUUGAAUCAAAAUAUAAAAAUCCCCAAUUUUAAACCCUAAAAACUUCAAAUCUUUGAUUCUCCUCACACACACCGAAUCGAGCUACCAAAUUCUAGGGGAAUGUAGUACUAAUCAAACUCAACUUAUCCAUAUAUAGAACUCACCAAAUGGUGACCUGAGGAAUGAGAAAUUCGAUCGACACCGAAUCCAAACCGGCGGAGUUUUGGAGCUCGAUUUAUCCCUCACGGCGGCGCCACUCGAUGCACCACCUAUCCAGCAAUGAAGUAGAGACAACGACGAAGCUUUUGGGACAAGUGUGGCGGUCUCCAGUUGCUUGACGGCAGAGCUAGGCCGAGAAGAAAAUCCGGAACUUUUUCUGAUUUUCUGACUUCUUACCAUCCACCUCUGGUAAAACUCCUAUAUAAAGAACUUUACCCGACGAAAUUCUUUAUUUUCGUCAGCUAAACUCUUUUGAAAAUUUUUGUUGACCGCCAAAAAAUUUGGUUGAAAAUUUUAAAAAUUUUUCGACUUUAGCCGACGACUUUUCAUAUAUUUUCGUCGGCUAAAGUCCUUUGAAAAUUUUCCUCCAAAUUUGGUUUACCGCCAACAAAAUUUGACCUUAGCCGACGACUUUUUUAGUAUCUCGUCGGCUAAAGUCUAUAAAUUCACGAAAACGCUCAUAUCGAUCUCCCUCUAUAUUACGUAGUUUGGUCAAACAUUCCACACGAAAAACUUUCACAUAGAUGAGACGCAACCGCCUAUAUAAAAAUUUUGAGACAUUUACCUUCCGACGAUAGGGCUCCCCAUAGGGAAUAAUAACGGUAAAUAGGGUUAACCGCUACUAUCGGCACCGAGACGUUACCCAGUUUACGUGGAUUUUGAACCAUAGCCGUAAUUCAUCAUUCUGAACACAUCUUAUUUCACAAGAUUUUUGAUAAUUUUGCUUCCUAUGUUGUAUAACCUACUAAACAAGUUAUACAACAUUACUAGACACGUGAUUCCGAUGACUAAAAUUCACAAACCAAAAUUCGACCAUCAGAUAUGAUCAUUAUGACGAAAGAUGUCUAUAGUAAAAAAUUUAACUGGAUUCGACAACGUUAAGGGCUCGAUCGAAACGGUCAACUCUAAUCGGAAAUAAGAAAACUGCAUUUUGAAGCCCUAAACGGACUCGGAUGGCCAAAAAGGCCCAUAUGUGAUGGCAUAGCGAUGAGUUUGACUCGUAGGGCCGUUACGCUUCUAGAAAUGUAUCACAAUAGUCAAUCGGACGCCGAAUGCCAAAUCUGCAGCAUAAUUAAUACCGGGUUUCGACUGUUCUACAUCAGAGACGUUACCCGAUUUACGUGAUUUUUGAACCAUAGCCGUAUUUCACCGUUCUGAACACAUCUUAUUUCACGAGAUUUUUGUUAAUUUUGCUUCUAUGUAGAGUUGGUUCACAAAGUUGUGUAUUUGUUUAAAACCUACUAAGCAAGUUAUACAACAUUUUAUUGUUUUUCUUUUAGCCGACGACUUUUAUCGAUAAUAGCCGACGAGUAAAAAUAUUGGCCAACGAAGGAAAACUUUUUGGUCGACGAAAAAAAAAUUUCGUCGACUAAAGUAUCGUAUAGCCGAUGAAAAAAUUUCUUCAGCCGACGAAAAUUUAAAUUAGCCGACGAAAAAAUAAUUCGUCGGCCUGGUUUUUUUAUUUUCGUCGGCUAAAACCUUUCUUUUGGUAGUGACACAUGUCAAAUGAAUAUCAAUACACGUUAUAUUAUUUUAAACAACAUGUUUUUUACGGAAAACGAUAACAUCAAUCAUAUAUAUCAACAAAUACACAUGUUUUUAACAAAACAAUAACAACCAAGAGUUAUCACUCAAUGACAAACAAAACAUCCAUUUCAAUUAUAAUCUAAUUAUCAAUUUAAGAAAGGUUCCCCGAGAAAGACCCUACCUGGAAUCCAAAUGCUACUUCCGACGCUAGCUAAAAUUAGUAACUCUGCUGAAAUCCUUAUCCUGCUACUUCUGCAAUCCAGCUACUCGCAUUCGAUCCUCGUACCGAAUCCUCAUUCCAAGAAUAUUGACAGACCACUUCAAAUCAGCUUGAUCUAAUUCUGAAAUUUACUAAGGACACCCAAGUCCUUACUUCCGAUUCUUCGACAUUCACUACUUAAUUCUCUCAUAGUAUCCAAACUCACAAUUGUGCUCCAAAUACGAAAUCCAUCUCCAAACACCAACCCAACUUCAAAUAGAAGUUAAUAUUUUUAUCUAAAAUUACUCUCUACACCCAAAACUCCCAUUAUAAAUCUCAAUACAGCUUGAUCAUCCUUCCCUCUUCUCCUUUGCACCAUUUCACAAUAUCUUCCUUGUAGACCCAACAAGCAAACCUCCAGACUUGUUCAUGAUGAACAUGUUCAUAUACGAGCACUUCCAUUACAUAAAUUAAAAUCAUUCUUCUACUUCCACAACUCUCAAACAUUAGACCAAACAAUUGUAACAACCACUGUUCUAACACUCGAGCCACAAUCAGCCUUCCAAUCAUCCCCUUCUCUCUCUUUUGAACGUUCAAGAAGCAUCAACACCAAUUCAAGUUCCUGAGCAAAGCCAGCACCGCCAACAACGCCACCACACACGGCAGCCGACGACUGCCCCGAAAUCAUCAACUCCUCCAAUCUCAAAUUCAAUUACAACCAACCAUGAAAUUAUAUUUUAAAGCCUCUAUCAAUAUCAAAGAUAGCUAAUCCAAAACCCAAAACAUUAUCAACGCCGCCGUGCACAGCAGCCGCGCACGGUGGUCGACUGCCCAAAUUCCACCUUCUUCCAAACAUAACCAAAUAUGAAUUCCACUUAUAUAAACAGGUAGAGCUCGACGAGAAGAUCAAGUUUCAUACCUCACUUGUCAUCGACGGUGGCCUGAAAGUUUCGAACCCUCGCCGGAAAACUCCUUGAGCUUUAAUUAAUCGAUUCUCACUCAUGGAGGCUCCUCUUAAUAUACGAACAUCAUGGAAGGGUUUCUGACAUCGAGACGAAGCUUCAGCUAUCGAUGAGAGGCGUCGACGCUGCCGGAAUCGAAAGUUGACCCGCGAACCCAGCCUCUCUUUCUCCCCUUCGAUUCUCUUACCCGACCUCUUCUGAAGAAACUGAGGACAUAGGGAAGACCACGAGAACGAGAGGAAGCUACCAAUACCCGUCACACUCGCCGUCGUGGCCGAAAUCACGAACUCGACCGGAAACCCAGAAAUUCUUCUCCUCCUCGAUUCUCUCUCUCCUCAGCUUUCCAUGGAAAUCCAACAUCACAAUCGUGUUGGGGACGACUAGACGGAGCUUUUGACACCGGUCUUGCACCGGGAAAUAGCUGGACCACAGAGGAAGGAGCUGAGCUCCGUCGCUGCAGAGCAGCUCGAGACCGAGUCGGUCUAGGCUUGUACUGAUCCAGUCCAAACUAAUCCCCUGUAUAUACAUACCUAAAUCGAUGGCCUAGAUCUAGCGGCUUAAGAGAUCCAACAGUCUAGAUCAUGUCAGCAAUAAGUCUAUUUUUAAUUAAAUUUUUAGAUAAUACAAACUUCUAAAAAUCAUUAAAAAUAGCUCUGAUGUCCAAAAAUACUUCCGUAAAAUUCUACAAACUCAUAACGACGUCUAGGUUAAUCCUAUGGGCUCGAAAGACAAAAUCGACAAACUAAAAAUUUGAAUAAUUUUCAACAAGCCACAAAAAAUUAAAAGAAUAAUAGAAAUCGAAAUAAAAAUAGCUCGAAAAAUAAUUUUCCUUUUAAAAAUAGAAAACUGAAAUUCCAGGAUGUUACAAAUAACUUCAGGAUUUCAAUUACAUGCAAAAGACAAGAGUUAGCAAGUAACUAAACCUUGGAAUUUAGAAUUUAAAUUUCAAGCCAGUGGUUAUUGUUGAACCUGUUACGAAGGAAAUGAAGCUCAGUCGACUGUGUGAUCGUCCGGUGUGGUUCACCUGAGUACCGUCGCUUGAUACAUUGAUCGGUUCCAUCUUACUCCGCAUUCCUAAUUGCCCGCUUCUCACUGGUGGCUGUCGUUUUCGUUUCUUUCGAAUAUGAAUUUUGUGUUGGGCUUUCGCAACUGUUAUUUGGGCCUGUAUACAGUAGUAUUAUCUCUCUCUCUCUCNNNNNNNNNNNNNNNNNNNNUAUUAUCUCUCUCUCUCUCUCUCUCUCUCUCUCUCUCUCUCUCUCUCUCUCUUUUCAAUAACCUGUCUUUUCUUUUUUAUUUAGAGAAGAUUCUACAACUUUUUGUUUCAAGACAUCUUUAUUUAUUUAUUUAGAGAAGAUUAUUUAUGAGGCUAUGUCAAAGAGAGAGCUUCUGCGACUGGAGUAGUUGACAUACCAUAGUUGAACGAAGCUACAACCCAUGGAUGGUCGUUAAUUGUUGGUGCUAAUCACGAAUCCCUCAACUGCAGAGUUUCUCCUGACCGAUCUAUCAAAGUUGAUUUUAACCCUAUCCCACAACCACUAUCCGGUUGCUGAAGCUCUAGCUCUGCGCAAUAGCCUCGUGUAUGCUAAUUAAAGAGCGAGGCUUCUCCAAGAUUGAAGUUGAGGGCGAUUCUAAGUUGGUGAUUGACGCCGUGAAUGGAGUGUCGACCCCUCUGUGGAAGUUACUCAAACUAAUUCAUGAUAUCAAAGUCUUGAGUAAUUCCUUUGAGUUUGUAUGCUUUCAGCAUGUGUUUAGGGAAGCAAACUUUGUGGCUAAUGCUUUAGCCAAUCUUAGAUAUAGGCUGAGUAACCUACGCUGCUAGGAGAAGUGUGUUCCCCCGGAAGUGUCUUCUGCUCUUGCCUUUGACAUUGUAAACCUUGGGUGCAUUAGAGACACCUCCAUCUAAUAUAUUUUUUUUUNNNNNNNNNNNNNNNNNNNNNNNNNNNNNNNNNNNNNNNNNNNNNNNNNNNNNNNNNNNNNNNNNNNNNNNNNNNNNNNNNNNNNNNNNNNNNNNNNNNNNNNNNNNNNNNNNNNNNNNNNNNNNNNNNNNNNNNNNNNNNNNNNNNNNNNNNNNNNNNNNNNNNNNNNNNNNNNNNNNNNNNNNNNNNNNNNNNNNNNNNNNNNNNNNNNNNNNNNNNNNNNNNNNNNNNNNNNNNNNNNNNNNNNNNNNNNNNNNNNNNNNNNNNNNNNNNNNNNNNNNNNNNNNNNNNNNNNNNNNNNNNNNNNNNNNNNNNNNNNNNNNNNNNNNNNNNNNNNNNNNNNNNNNNNNNNNNNNNNNNNNNNNNNNNNNNNNNNNNNNNNNNNNNNNNNNNNNNNNNNNNNNNNNNNNNNNNNNNNNNNNNNNNNNNNNNNNNNNNNNNNNNNNNNNNNCACUCUCUCUCUCUCUCUCUCUCUCUCUCUCUCUCUCUCUCUCUCUCUCUCUCUCUCUCUCUCCACCGUUGAGCAGCAACGAUUCUGGCAACACCGGACGGCGAGACCGCCACUGAAGUGAUCCUCUCCUCCUCCUCAACUCAGCCCAGUCCUUUAAUUCGGAAGACAUCCACUUUUGGCGGAGAUCGAUGGAGGAGGACGGUGACUAUCCUUCAUUGUUUUCCGGCGAGGGCUCAGGCUCCGAUCACUGAUCCACCUAGCGACGGUGAGUCCCUUCCUCCUCUCUUCCUUCUGCACAGUCUAGUGCUUUAUUUCCUUCAAAUCGAGACCUAACUCAGAAAUCCCCUUGUGUUUCUGAGUUUCUUGAGCUUCUUUUCCUGCGAUUGUGUUCUUCGUGUUCUGGUGGCGACCACGAGCUCCGACGAGCGUAGUUCAUCCUUGGAGAUGCCGGGACUUAGAGUUGGGAAGCUUUGGGGCAGUUGCUGUUGUGCAGCAUCGUGGCAAAGGGACUGCUUAUUGAUUUCAAGCAAGGAGAGGUUGCUGGGUUUGAGUGGUGUACAGAUUGGAGGUAAGGAGUUUGAUUUGGUCGGCUGUGUUGUUGUUUGUGUUGCGGUUAUUGAGUUGGAUUGUGACUAAAAUCAUUGUUGUGGUUGAUACUUGUCGAUGUCAAUAACUUGGUGAUAGGAGUUUAUGAGGAGGCUAUGGCAAAAUUCCGGUAAGUCGUCGGAAUCUGGCAAGAGAUUUCGACGAGGGCAGAAUCAUGCAGAGACUAUUGAGGUAGUUAUCGAUGUUUUUCCCUGCUAUUGUGUAUCGUUUCAAUAAUAGGAAAGUUUGUAGGUUGUAAUCGGAAAUCUUUCUAAGUGAGGAAAGUUUCUAUUUUAGGAAACUUUCCCUUUUUGGGAAACUUUCUAUUUAUGGAAACCCAUUGUUGGGUGCCCUUAGUGAUUUAUGGGGUGAAGUUGUGUUGAGAGGAAGUAUAUGGGGAUUGUAUGGGUGAAGAAACAAUUGUAAUUGUGUUGUAAUUGAGGAUUUCUCGGAUGAAGAAAUUGGAUAAUCGAGGAAUGGAUUUAGUGAAAAGGUUUGUUCUUAUUUAAGAUCUAAUUGAUUUCAAGUGAAGCAAAUAAUUGAUUUAUUAAAAUGAUUGUUGGAUUUGAAUUGGAUGGUUAAGAGUAAUCAAGGUAACCCGAAUUUUCAAGUCGAAGGUUAGAGUGGAAAAUGUUGAAACUUCGUUACUUGGCCAACCCUAAUUUAAUUGGUCAAUUUUGGUCAACUCAGGAAAUCUAGCCAAACUAGGAAGAAUUUGAAUCCAUGAUUAUUAUGGUGUUUGGUCUGACCGAUUUAUUCUUCUAUUUAUCGUCAGACGUGGGAUUGGCUAGAGAAUGUGAAUAGUUUGAGGCAGCGCUCGAGGAGUAUUCCGAGCAUUGGAAGACUUAGGCCUAAUACGGUGAGUGGACUUUUGUUUUAAAUAAUAUGCAUGCAAAUGGUUUAUUGUUGAGCAAUUUCUUUUGUUGGAGCAUUUGACGUCAUUUUAUUUUGACGAUUUCUUUUAUUUUGGAGAGUUACCGAAAAUGAGAUUUUCGGUGGAUAUGUAUAUGGAUUCUUAUGAGUAUAGUAUAAAUGCUAGCUAGCCUUACGUGUUUGGUCCGUCAUAAUAAGGUAAAAUUCCAUUAUGGCGUGACGUAAGUGUUAGACACAAGCGUCAUAGCCCUAUAUGAAAACUAUUUUCAUAUCUAGUUCAUAUAGAUUUUCAUAUAGGGAGUCCACACGUAUAUACACCCGUCCUCUUCGGUCAUAAUGAGGAAAAAUUUCAUUAUGGCGCGACGUGAGCGUUAGACGCAAGCGUCGUAGCCUUGUAUGAAUUUCUAUUUUUCUAUUUUGUUCAUAGAAUUCGUACAAGGAGUCUGACGAGUGUAAAUACAUACAUAUAUGUAUAGUUUAACCUGAGAUUCUGUAUUUUAUUAAGUUUUGGAGACUAGCUCAUGUAUUUGCCAGUUUAUGAGUUGAAAGCUUUUGAGCUGUCGCAUGCAGCAUAUUUUAUAUGGAAAUUAAAUUGGGGAAGCAUAAAGAAAUAUUGUUAUUAAAUUUAUUUUUGUCCACUCACUCUAACGUGUUUUCAAAUGUUUUCCCAUGCGCCAUUUGUUUUAAAAAUGCUCAGUAUGCAGGUUAGCUUAGUUGAGGUCGGGCGUACAUGAAGAAGAGACAUAGUCAAUAGUAUAGUUUCUGCUCAUUUCUAUAUUUCUAGUUCUUUUCUUCUCCAUUAGAGCUGUUCUGAACUGUGAUUGUUGGUUAUGGGAUUAUUCUUAUUAAGUUAGUAAAUAAAUUGGGAGAUGUUGUGAUUUGGGGAGCACGAAGGCUCCAGGAGUAGAGGGUUAUAGAUGGAUUUUUUCGAAGUGUUUGCAGGUAUUUCUAGGAAGGGUUGUCCAUUUUCAAGAGAGAUUAUGUCGAAUUUUCGGUAAAUUUUCCUUGGAGGUGGUCCCCGCAGGAUUUACUUCGGGUUUCAGGGUGAAAUUCGAGGUGGGUCCUGACACCAAGUGAGGAUUUUUAAAAAUGUUUAGGUGAUGUGAUAAUGAAAUUGGAAAAUAUCAAAUAACAAUUAAAACAUUCAUCUAACCAUUCAUUCAAAAGUCUACAUAUAAUUCUCGUUAUAAGUAGGAUGGCAAUGGGUAGGGUAGGAUACGGGGAUCAAAAUACCGUAUCCAUACCCUUUUACAUUUCUCAUCCCCGUACCCGUAAUUAGAUAAUGGGGAUUUCCCGUACCCGUACCCUUUGGGGAUUACGUUUCCAUACCCGUACCCGUACCCGUUAACAAUUAUGUAUUAAAUUAAAUUUUUUUUUAAAUACGAAAUACAUUAUAUAAAAGUAUGAAAUUAAAAUCAAAUACCAAAAUAAAUAAGUUUCAUGCUUCAAUCCAAUAAAAAUAAAUACAAGUUUUGGUUAAAACAGAACAAUACCGAUAAAUUUCAUUAAGAAAAUAAAAAUAUAUAAUAAAAAGGAAGGUCCGUUUAUUAAGAGAAUCACAAAUUUUUUUACAUAAAUAUUUAUUUAUAAAUUAUAUAUAAAUAUAUAUAAUAAAUUAUAUAAUUAUAUAUAAUAAUAUUUUCAUCCUUAAUAGGUGGGGAUAGGGACGAAUAUCAAAAUAUCAUACCCGCCCCGUACCCGAUUUAAGAAUCCGAAUACUGGGGAUCCCCAUCUCCAUUACCCAUUUAUAACCGUAUAUCUUCCUCGUUAGAGUCGAAUACCCGUGGGUACCCUACCCGCUAGGGAUUAUUGCCAUCCUUAGUUAUAAGGUUCUCAUUAGAAGUUUUCCCACUAAUGAAAUCGAAAAUUAGAAAGUCGCAACCUAGCUAUCUAUCAUGACGAAAACUAACAAAACCCGAUGAAGUAUCACACCAAGGAACUCUAGAUCUAACGUAUAUCUGUCUUUUGUGAUCCAAAAAACACGCGUACGACAUAUUACAUUGACUUACAACAUUUGGUGUACGGUAAUACCGUAUACCGUAUACCAUUUCCUAAACAUUUUCUCAAAAGUUAUACCAAGCACAACACCCAUAUAGGCAUAUUUAAGAAGUCCAAAAAGAAAUAAAGUUCAUUUUUCUCGGUCUUCACUAUCCGAUUUAAGUUUGUUUAACCCUAUACAGUCCAUUAUUUCAAGGAUCAAAACAAUUGAUAAUCGGAUUCGAUGCUAAUGAUCGACUUGGCUUUAAGGUGAUGGAAACCACUUCCAAUGGCCAGAAAAGACUUGAUUGGAGACUCCAAAAUAUAUAACUAGCUAGAUUCCGUAUUUCAUACCAAAUAGGAUCUCAAAUUAUAUAAAGUGAGAAAGCAAACUCAAACUAUCAAAAUGUUGUCGAAAUAUAUGGAUGGAGUUCUUGCAAAUUCUAUAUAUUUGAACCAAAGGAGAGUACGUACGUAGUACCUAUAGCUAUCUAAGGUUAGUCAGUUACUCAAUUUUAUUAGACUUCAUCAAUCGCUUUUCGUCUUUCACUCUAUAUAUGCCAUUUUGAAGUAGGUAUAACCAAGGAAAGGAAGUAGAAGAAGAAGGAAAUUUCAUUAUAAGCCAUACGAUUACAAGUGCAUAUAUAGUACGUAGUAGCUAGUUAUUGUCUUAGUGCGUUAGACCUCUCGUACUACAAGAGAGCCAUACAGGACUACCUUUAUUCAUUCUCUACCCCUUAAGCUAGCUUAGUGCCAAAACACUACGUGCCGCAUCAUAUUUUUACAUUUCGAUCAUCACAAUGAUUUAAGCAAUAGCCCAUCAGCUCUUCUGGGGCAUGGCAGCCGACCUUGAGGAGCUCAAGGCAACGAUCUCCUGCCUGUUGUACUUGAGGUUCCUAGCCUGCUGACGGUCCAUCUGGUAAGCGUUGGCGAGGACCACGUCGGGGAGUGAUCGCAGGACGGAGGUCCUACCAGCCAUGGUGUUGAUCAUGGCAUUGUCUUGGGUCUUAAAGGCAAUGUACUCGUAUCCAUUGCUCAUGGCCUUUUGCAACACGGCGUGGUUUUGCGGCACGAUGAAGAGCUGUCCCUGGCGGACCUGGUCGUCCAAGAUGCAGUCGCCAUUGUCGUUCACCACCUGAACCCUAGCGCUGCCCCUGAUGACGUAGUAUACUUCAUGGGCGUUCAAGUUCCAGUGUGGGCUGUAGAUAGCGUUCUGCAUUUACAACGUAUCAAUCACUUUUAAUUACUUAAGCUCAAACAAUUAAUUGGUAACUAAUUAAAAUGAACUAAUAAAUGCAUGGAAAAGAAUACUGACGUUGUAGAAGAAGCCUCUCUCAGCGCUGAGACGGAGGCGCCUGAGAAUAGGCAUGGUGAAGGCGUUGAGGGUGCUGAUGCGACCGGCUUGCGGGCUGAAGACGUCGGCCAUUGUAGGCCUUCCGAUGUUUUGUCUCAUCUUCAUGUGGCAGAAGAGCUCCUCCAUGCCGUUCUCUUCAUAUUGUCCUUGUUGUCCCUGCAUUUGUGUUCCUUGGAUUUGCCUUUCCUCCCUCAUUGACUCUGGGGGCUGGAUGAAGUCGAGGCGUCCCUGUACCCUAACAAUCUGUGGCCUGUUGUCGUUCAUUCCCUGGAGCUGCUGGGCGGUCUGUUGGUCGAUGUUAAGAGCGUCGGCGAGGAGCUGUGUGUCGAAGCCGGAGAAGACGUUGUUGUAGUUCCCCUGCAUUUGGUGCCUGCUCUUUCCUUGUUGUCUCCGGAUCCGUGGGCUUUGGCCUUGUUGGGUGAACUCAUCUUGUGGGUUACCAGCAAGGUAGAAUCUCUAUAUAUAAAGAGAGAUUAAGCAGCAACAAGUCAGUGAACAUUACCCUAAACUAUUUUUGGUACAUGCAAGAAUAUAUACUGAAUGAAAUGUGGUAAGAAAUUGUACCCUUGGGAUUCGGUCCAGCUGGUUGUGCUGGUUGCUCAUGUCAAGAAGACUGACGAAAACAAGAGGUUCGUUAGCGUCGUUGUAACUCCAGCAGGUGACACCAGCAGGAAUGGCGAUAACAUCACCUUCCCUGACGCGUCGGACCUUCUGGUGACGGUCGAGCUGAUCAUAGCUCUCUUGCUGGCCUUGCUGGCCCAUUUGUCCCUCUCGGCGUAUAAUCUGUUGCCGGCGGCCUUGUUGGCCUUGAGAUUGUCGUUGCUCUUCAACAGAUUGUUCGGUUUCUUCGAAAGUCUCGGGACAGCCGGGGAGAACCAUUCCUAGAUGACCCAUACCUGCAAUACUCAUAGCAAUAAGUUAACAGUCCAUCGACAAACGCUAGCUAGCUACAUGCAAUUUCGGUAUAACUAAUGAAGUGAUAUGAUAUUACCUCGGACGACGUAAACGAGUCGUGGAGUGUUAACGUAAGAAGGCAGGUGGAGGCCGUUGUUCUCAAUGGUGAUCUUCUGAACGGCGACGCCAGCGCACUGGAAGUCAUCCUGGUUGUAGUCCCAGGACUCGAUCCGACCUGCUUCAGUCUCAAUGCGGUUGUCGGGCUCGCGGGCUUGGAUCCGGUUCAGCAUGCACUCAUUUUGCUGGCUGAACUGAGUUUGUCGCCGACUGGCUAAGCAGCCGUGGAAGAGAACAAGUAAGCAAAGAGAGAAAGCGAGAGCUAAGUGCUUGGCCAUUGUGAUGAUCAAUGGCAGAUAGCUAGUUGUGGGUUGUGAUGAUGAAGUGGAGAGUAGAGCGUUGGUAUUUAUAGGAGAUGAGAGGAGGUGAGGGUGAGAAUAGUGCAAAUGAUGUGUAAGGAAUCUCAUGCCAUUCUUCUCUUUGCAUGGCUAUUAGUAUUUCACAUUCUUACACCUCAUUUCUCUUCCAGGGCAGGUGGCUCUUGGCUUCAGAGAAGGUUUAAAGUUAUAAGAACAAGGUGGCAACCAGGUGGGGUGGCCAUGAUUGUUUGCAAGUGAAGCAAAUUUCACCUCCCCGAACCUCGUGCAAUGCAUGAACUCGAAUAAUUAACUCAUGAAUCAGAUCUGAAACUGUUUCAUGUUCGUGAAGAAAUAUUACAUCAGUACCAUCCCGAACUAUCUAUAAUUUACGGAGGUGAAACAUAAGAUGAUAAGAACUUUAUCAUCUUCCAAAUAGUAAUAUCCAUAUUCCUUUACUCCCUUUGUAUGUAAUUCAAAUGUAGUAUUUAAGACUUUUUGAACAUUUUUCAAGAAUGAUCUCUGGACUCGGCGCGCUCUUAUGUAUAAGAGUUCCUUUACCUGCUAAUAAAUCUAAAUAACUUAUAUAUAUAUAUAAACGGAUUUUCUCAGCUGCGGACGUCCGCACCAAUUUUUUGGUGCGGAUUUCUAUUUUUUCAUCACUUUUCGAUCGAAUUUCCUCAUCUCCACCGUCUAGUAUCUAGAUAAUAUUGUGUAGAUCAUCUCUGCAANNNNNNNNNNNNNNNNNNNNNNNNNNNNNNNNNNNNNNNNNNNNNNNNNNNNNNNNNNNNNNNNNNNNNNNNNNNNNNNNNNNNNNNNNNNNNNNNNNNNNNNNNNNNNNNNNNNNNNNNNNNNNNNNNNNNNNNNNNNNNNNNNNNNNNNNNNNNNNNNNNNNNNNNNNNNNNNNNNNNNNNNNNNNNNNNNNNNNNNNNNNNNNNNNNNNNNNNNNNNNNNNNNNNNNNNNNNNNNNNNNNNNNNNNNNNNNNNNNNNNNNNNNNNNNNNNNNNNNNNNNNNNNNNNNNNNNNNNNNNNNNNNNNNNNNNNNNNNNNNNNNNNNNNNNNNNNNNNNNNNNNNNNNNNNNNNNNNNNNNNNNNNNNNNNNNNNNNNNNNNNNNNNNNNNNNNNNNNNNNNNNNNNNNNNNNNNNNNNNNNNNNNNNNNNNNNNNNNNNNNNNNNNNNNNNNNNNNNNNNNNNNNNNNNNNNNNNNNNNNNNNNNNNNNNNNNNNNNNNNNNNNNNNNNNNNNNNNNNNNNNNNNNNNNNNNNNNNNNNNNNNNNNNNNNNNNNNNNNNNNNNNNNNNNNNNNNNNNNNNNNNNNNNNNNNNNNNNNNNNNNNNNNNNNNNNNNNNNNNNNNNNNNNNNNNNNNNNNNNNNNNNNNNNNNNNNNNNNNNNNNNNNNNNNNNNNNNNNNNNNNNNNNNNNNNNNNNNNNNNNNNNNNNNNNNNNNNNNNNNNNNNNNNNNNNNNNNNNNNNNNNNNNNNNNNNNNUAUAUAUAUAUAUAUAUAUAUAUAUAUAUAUAUAUAUAUAUAUAGGUUUCAACCGCAAGAGGUUAGUUCAGCACUAGUAAAUAUAUAAUUACAUGGCACAUGGAAGUGAUGGAACAAAGAAGUGAUACGCAAAUCAUCAAACUAUCACAUACGGCCUGAAACUUUGUGCUAAUACGUACAUAUGCCCUUCAAAUAUCCCUUAAACUUGUCAUAUUGUCAUAUAUAUUGACAUGCAUUUCAUUUGCAUCAAUGCAGAAUCAAACCCUUCGUAUAAAAUAAAAAUAAAAAUGCAGAAUCAAACCCUGACGUUAAUACAAGGAUAUUAGUUCCUAUGUCACUAACCGAUCGAUUUGGUGCAUCAAGUGCUCACCCAUGUACAAUCCCAAACAUAUGAUUCAUAUGAUAUGAAAUAGGCCAUCACAACCGAGAACUCACCGCCCCUCCUCUAUUUAACCCUGAGCUUAGAUAUCAAUCAUAUGAAACGCAUUCAUUUCCACAAGUGAAUUAAAAACCUCUGAAGGCUUAAUUAGCCGUUUAGGGUUCAUAUAUGGAUCUCUCAGUAAUUUGAAUUUGGCCACUUAUUCGAUCUUGUCAAACGAAGGACGCAAGGCAAUCUUUAGCUACUAGUUGUCCUUAGCGAUGAUCAUUAAGCACGUACGUACAGUUUCUAUAAUAAACUUUCUUAUUUCUUUCUAUUACAAUGGUUUGAAGCUUUUCUGUGCUAAUUGAUUCGUAAAGCUCGAGAGUACGUAGCUAUAUAUAUCCCAAUCAUUAAGGACCCUAUUAAUCAAAGUGAACAAUUAGCUUCAGGAUAACUGAGUAGGAAUAAUGGAGUAGCACCGGGAAAUAAGUCGGAAAAUACGUUCGUCCGGACUAAGUACGUAUGUGUGCGUCCGGACUCUCUUUUAUUUACUUUCUUUUGUCAAUGCAAAUCAUAAUCUUAACCGUUCAAAAGUUGAAUUAACCUAUAUAGAUCAUCUCUACAAAAUUUCAAUGUAAACAAACAUCGUUUUCUUAGUCGAUUACAUUAAACAAAUUGACAGUUCUAGUGAAAGUUAACAGUCUCAUGAUCAGUCGUCCAUUUGUUUGAUACAUUCGGCUUAGAAAACAAUGUUUGUUUACAUUGAAAUUUUGCAGAGGUGAUCUCCAUAUAUAGGUACGUAAAUAAGAAAGAGUUCAGACGCACACGUACAAACUAGUCCGAACGCAAAUAUUUUCCAAAUAAACUAGUCCGAACGCAAGUAUUUUCCAAAUAAGUUAAAUGACAAAAGCCAAAGUUUACAAGUACAUAAGAUUAGACCGAGUGUAAUGAUAAAAUGCGUGCACCAAAUCGGAAAUUGAGACUGAGAAUAAGAUUAAACACUCUGUAGUGUGUACUUACGUAGAGUUUAUCUAUCAAACUUGUUGUCGAAUUUGCUUUGAGGCAAAACCACCUAGCUACUUCAAAUUGGCGUGUAAGAUGAUGCUUAUAGUUGUGGACUUGUGGGUAAUGAGUUGAGAUUAAGUUAGAGUGACUGCGAGAGCGGUAUGUUGGAGUCUUCAAAAUAUAACCCAUUUUACAUUUCUCCUAUUCUAUGAUUAUUCUUUUUUCUUAUCCUAUGUUCUAUAAGUAGAUAACACAAUUGUCAAUUCUUUUAUUUUUCUUCUCUGUUCUAAAAAAACAAAAGAAUGUCUAAAUGUUGAAUCAACCAUAUAACAAAUUAAGCAAUACACUAAAAGAAGCUGCAGCUACCAGCUUGCUUUGGUCAAUUUGUUAUAUACUAAAGAUAUACCAAUUAUUCAUCAACGUCGACUCGGGUCAACGUACCACAUAGAUAUGCAAUAUGAAAGGGAAGAGUAUAUCAUCAAGGCAAACCAAAAAAGUGAAAACUUCAUUAGAAAGCAUAACGUUACAAGUACGUACAUAUACGUAGCAGCUAGUACUAUAACUUAGUACAUUGGAUCUCCCAUACUACAAAAGAGCCAUACAAGGCACUUUUAUUCCCUCGAACUGACGAACUCUACCCCUUAGCUAGCUUGAUGCUAAAACACUACAUGCCGCAUCACAUUUUUACAUACAUAUAUUGAUAUAUUUAAGCACUAGCCCUCUCGGACUGGAAAGAUCUUGAGGAGCUCAAGGCAACAGUCUCCUGCCUGUUGUACUUGAGGUUCCUUGCCUGCUGACGGUCCAUCUGGUAAGCAUUGGCGAGGACCACGUCGGGGAGUGCCCGGAGGACGGAGGUCCUGCCAGCCAAGGUGUUGAUUAUGGCAUUGUCUUGUGUCUUGAAGGCAAUGUACUCGUAUCCAUUGCUCAUGGCCUUUUGCAGCACGGCGUGGUUCUGCGGCACGAUGAAGAGCUGUCCCUGGCGGACCUGGUCGUCCAAGAUGGUCUCACCGUUGUCGUUCACCACCUGAACCCUAGCGCUGCCCCUGAUGACGUAGUACACUUCAUGGGCGUUCAAGUUCCAGUGUGGGCUGUAGAUAGCGUUCUGCAUGUACCACAUAAUAACCAUAAUUAAAACUGCUAAAUUAAACUCCACCAUAACUUGAUUAGACUUAGUUGAUAGACAAAUCAAUAUGCAUGCAUAUAUACUCACGUUGUAGAAGAAGCCUCUCUCAGCGCUGAGACGGAGGUGCCUGAGAACGGGCAUGCUAAGGCCAUUGAGGACGCUGAUGCGACCGGCUUGUGGGCUGAAGACGUCAGCCAUUGAAGGCUUGCCGAUGUUCUGCUUCAUCUUCAUGUGGCAGAAUACCUCCUCAAAACCAUUCUGUCCUUGUCGUCCUUGUUGUUGUCUUUCCUCCCUCAUUGACUCUGGGGGCUGGAC